AGAGCCGCCGCCACCGCGCUCCCAGACAAAGGAAGGCGGGACACGCGCGGGACACGCGCCCCGGGCCGCGACGGGCACCCGACUCCCUAAAGCGAAUUAAUUCUACAAUCUGAAUACCAUUAAAGAGCCCCGCCCAAACUCCCCGAGGUUUUCAGCCUUUUGCCAGGUGUCAUCAAAGGCAGGAUCCAAACAGGCAGACGGGCGGCCCCUGGCUGGUUCUGGUAAGCGGGUCCCUGUGGCGGCCUUGGGACCUCGGUUCGGAGCCGGAGGGCGAGCUGGUCAGCCGGACCCCACCAGCGGACCGACGCGGCGAGGAGGAGAUGAGGUGCAGAGAGGAUGAACACCUUGCCAAGUAAUGACUGGACUAUUCUGAUCCAGAUUAAUGCCCGCUGCGUGGCCGAACAUGCUGGAGUUGAGGCUGCUUCCUCCCCACAGGUUCUGAAGCGUCCUAAUCAGAAGGGAACUGAGGAAGAUAACAAAAUGCGUGUGUAAUUUAGUUACCUAUAUGAUGUC
Long non-coding RNA from Lagenorhynchus albirostris (white-beaked dolphin), 513 nucleotides. RefSeq lists it as uncharacterized. NCBI's taxonomy places the organism in Eukaryota, Metazoa, Chordata, Mammalia, Artiodactyla, Delphinidae. The record is from RefSeq and is a predicted model, not a curated record. The transcript is spliced from 3 exons.